This 252-nucleotide ribosomal RNA is filed under the name Triticum aestivum (bread wheat). Its description in RNAcentral is "partial small subunit ribosomal RNA". Lineage: Eukaryota; Viridiplantae; Streptophyta; Magnoliopsida; Poales; Poaceae. The record is from RNAcentral.
CUGCAGAAUAAGAGCACACAGAACAUCAACAACAAGCUCCAACUGUUGAUGAAGAGCAACAAGUACACGCUUGUCUACAAGACCGUUCUCAAGACGCUUCUGGAGCUCAAGGGUACGUGUGGGAUCGCCCCUCUUUUUUUCAUGCCCUUUUUCUCGGUUCGUCCGAUCAGUUGCAUUGAAUGGUUGGUUACUCUGUUCGUCUACCAUGCUUUGAAUGUUACGAUGGUCAAUGCCAUGCUGAUUUGGAGUUAA